This 550-nucleotide ribosomal RNA is filed under the name uncultured bacterium. Its description in RNAcentral is "bacterial SSU rRNA". It matches the Rfam family "Bacterial small subunit ribosomal RNA", at positions 73 to 654 of the family's 1533-position model. The record is from RNAcentral.
GUGGGAGCAAUCCCGCGAGUAAAGUGGCGCACGGGUGAGUAACACGUGACUAACCUACCUUGGAGUUCGGAAUAACCCCGGGAAACCGGGGCUAAUACCGGAUGAUACCUUUGGGUCAAAGGAGCAAUUCGCUCUGAGAGGGGGUCGCGGCUGAUUAGCUAGUUGGCAGGGUAAUGGCCUACCAAGGCGACGAUCAGUAUCCGGCCUGAGAGGGCGCACGGACACACUGGAACUGAAACACGGUCCAGACUCCUACGGGAGGCAGCAGUGGGGAAUUUUGCACAAUGGGGGAAACCCUGAUGCAGCAACGCCGCGUGGAGGAUGAAGGUCUUUGGAUUGUAAACUCCUUUCGACCGGGACGAUAAUGACGGUACCGGGAGAAGAAGCACCGGCUAACUCUGUGCCAGCAGCCGCGGUAAUACAGAGGGUGCAAGCGUUGUUCGGAAUUAUUGGGCGUAAAGGGCGCGUAGGCGGUGCGGUAAGUCUGCGGUGAAAUCUCCCGGCUCAACUGGGAGGCUGCCGUGGAAACUGCCGUGCUUGAGUGUGGGAG